This is a long non-coding RNA of Anser brachyrhynchus (Pink-footed goose), 1427 nucleotides long. The record is from Ensembl. NCBI's taxonomy places the organism in Eukaryota, Metazoa, Chordata, Aves, Anseriformes, Anatidae.
UAGCAGCAAUUUAGCCACAUAAAUUUGAAGAAAACAGGAUGUCCUUCAAAAAAAAAACCACAACAACACACACACACACACACACACACAUAUAUAUAUAUAAAUAUAUAUAUAUGUAUCUCCCAAGCCCCAAAUGGAUUACCUAUGCAAAGGUUUUGAUGCUAUGGAGCAGCUGCACAUCGUUGGUUUGGGUCUGCUGUGAACAGUGAUCAAGGUCAUUAGGAAUCAUGGUGGGGCAUGAAAUCAUCCCUUAUUACCAGCUGAUCAUAGUGGUGGUACUUUCAGCAUAAAGUUGUUUAAAACCUUGCAAACUUUUCCUCACAAAUGUGACUACAUUCUUGAGUGUUUUAUGUGUUGCAUGAGAAAGAAUUUGGGCAGAGUAAAGCACUCCCCAUUUCCAAUAAAUAAUUACAAAGGGUUUGCCAAAACAGCAGUCCCCUGAUAGGUUAUAACACUGCUUGGUGUAAUGUGCUCCCCAUGCAUUUCAUCAUGGACAUGAAAUCUGGACCAAUUAUCAUUUUCUCAUACUGUAGCUUUUAAAGUAUUUUUAUUUUCUUUGUUACUGUCUAGUUCAUUAAACAGGGCUUGCAAGUUCCCAGUAACAGGAUUACUAUUGACAAUUUCAUUAGAACUAUAAUUCCACCGCUUGUGCGCCUUCCAGGGAGAACCAUCGCAGACCACAGCCACAGCCCGUCCACCUUUGCUAUAAUUGUGUUUGCAGCUGCCUACGGCUCUUCCCCGUUGAAUUUGGAAGGGCCAAAACUGCCAGUUUUUGUAAAACGGGUUUUAUCUGUGUAUUACACGAGCCCAGUUAGUUCCUGGUGAAUUAUGGAACUGUCAGCUGCGGUCUGACCCUAUGCAUGUUGGGAAAGAUGCUUAAUGUACAGGUGCAGUAAGUUUGUAAUUGCAAUUUAUAUAUAGCAGUGCAAUGCCUGGCCUGGCAGGUAAAUACCAGCAAACAGCACAGCUUGAAUGGGAGCUGUAAAUGUGCAAGUAGCAGGAAUAGCAGUGGAAAACCAGAAAAGACAAAAUCCUCCUCCUCUGCUCCCAGAGUCUUCCCUCUGUGUCGACUUGUGCGUUCUCUGAGAUGGAUACUCUUUCAAGCUGGAAGUGGAAAUAGCAACCAGAGCGAUAAACUUUUCUUUAAGUUUCCUUCAGUUGGUUUGAGGAGGUCUGUCUGGCGUGCCUACCCACGGGCAGGGAGACACUGCUGUCCAGCCAGAGCUGAACAACCUGUGUGGAGAAUACAAAGGCUUUCUUAUGCUGGCAAAUGGGUGCUUUCUUCCCAACUCCCCCCGAGGCGAAUCGUGGAAGAUGUAGCGCAGAUAGACAUGAAAACUGCAGACCUUCUUAGCAAGUACUUCUCUUAUAGAGAAGAAAUGAAAAAUACUCCUUCCAUGGCCAGAGCCUGGGGAAGGACAAAAUAG